RNAcentral lists this ribosomal RNA (2770 nucleotides) under Triticum aestivum (bread wheat). Its description in RNAcentral is "partial small subunit ribosomal RNA". Lineage: Eukaryota; Viridiplantae; Streptophyta; Magnoliopsida; Poales; Poaceae. The record is from RNAcentral.
CAAACCGACCCGGAGAGUGUGUGCGUUGUAGAGAGCAAAACAGAGGGGUGAGUGGCAGAUCCCAACCGCGGCGGCGGCGGCGGCUGCUGGACGGCGGGGUCGCGAGGAGGGUGCGACCGGUGGCUACCUUACGGGCGAAGAGGGGGACCAGAAGACCGUAGGAGCAUCGUUCGAUGCCGCGACGAGGAGGGAUGCUGUGGCUACCGUUCCGCCGCUGUUGGGACGGUAGAAAGUAGCCACUACGAGGAGGGGGGCCCGGCGCCGUUCCGCACAACUAGGGCAUCAAGGACCUGCACCCCUUCCAACCGCGUGUCCAUGUUACUCUGCUGCUAAGCCUUCCGAUCCACUCGUAAUACAAACCAAAAACCACCAACCAGACAACUAUUGCUCUAAAUUCCAAACCACGACGCUAAUCUUUUAAUAGGCUUGCUCUCUUCCUUCUUCCUAAAAAGUCGUCGAUAACUUCCACGCUCGAUAACGGUACCUUUCCCACAGAUGGUGACUCUGGAAUUCUAUGACUGCUGGCUUCGAAGAAAAAAGAAAACUUCGUCAGGCCCGUAUGCUAAUAGAUAGUAAUAAUAAAAGGUACAUAGUACAUGAAGCGCUCUAUCGGUCAUACCGAACUAACGAGACAGAGAAAAGAAGGACUGAAUAGGGUUAUAAUGUACAAUGUUGGUUUUUUGCAAGAAUAACUGGCCCUUCCGUUGUAGUUUUAGAGACUAAAACCAGAGUCACGAAAUGGAGUUGUAGAACCCCAUACUAUCUGAAUAGCCACUAAAGUAACAUAACUCGUAAUAUAAAAAUAACUAAAAAUUUGCUCCUAUAAAAUUAAAUUAACUUAAAUUCUAGACGUUGAAAAGUUUUACUGCCUAACGACGUAUGUUGGACACCAUCGGGGUUGAUAUAACGUGGAUUCCAAGACGUCUUGUCUCCUCUAAUGUCUAGUGACAGCCCAUAGAUUAGAACACCUCAUUGAUAAAUGUAUUAAGAGCAUCCUGUGGAAGGUAAACUACUAGCUUAAUUCCAACAAGAAAUAGUCUUCCAUCCGUCAGUAAUUUUUGAAUUAUGAACUAGAAACUUCGGUAAGGUUAUCAUGAUGACAAUAGACCAACCUACAUCUAAAGUUUCCCACUACGAGUCUAACGCCUCACCGAAAGCGGUUUUUCGAGACUAGCCGAAAAGUACGUGAUCGAGUAGUUAACGGUGAAGCUUAGACAACAUACAUCCAAUUCUAAGUCAAAGUGGAUGACAGAUUAAAUGUACUUACGGCCAUAGUGAGGUACCUAAUAUAUAAUUAGAUGAAAUCAGUGACAAAGUCUAAAACGGAAGUACUAAUUAAUAUACCUACGAAUCAACAUCGGUAGUACGGACAGUAUCAAGUUCAAAAAAUGAAAAAGUAAGUACGGCCAACGUGUACCCCCUACUCUACUGAAGACGUACAGAAGAUAAAAACAUUUCACAGAUGGACUCAAGAAGUGUACCACGGAACCAAAGUAACCUUUAUAUGAUUUUUCUAUACACGUAUAGUACCUAGAACAGCACAGUUGGUUUUUGUCGAAGAAGAAUUUUCUACCUAAACAAACUCGGAGUUGACCACGUAGAAAACGACGUAGUUGAUCCCGACUUUCCUGAUUUUAAUAAGUUGAAACAAUGAUCCAUAGACCAGUAUCCAUAACAUUUAUGAUUUAUCAUACUAUAGGAAAAUACUUUGUUUAAAAGAAAGACAAACUGUAACUACACGAACACUAAACGAAAGGUCCAAUAGAAAGAACUCUUGAAUGACCAAAUGGUUAAACUCUAAACAAAGUAGUACAAAAAUAUGGUACAGUAGUCCUAAAAGUAAACAAGAAAACGGUAUGUUUGUUCUAUAACGUCACGAAGUCCCAAAAGUCAACAAGAAGACGGUAUGGUAGACACACGCACAUAUAACGACUGUAUGUCAAAGGAAAAACAACACGUCUUCACGAAUAUAAAAGAGUACGGGAGUUGAUGAUAAAAUCGAAGUCAUACGAGACUCAUAUUCAUAUCGGCGAUGUUACCAGUCAUGGUUCCCACUCACGGAGGUGCAAACUUCUACUAGAGUGUCCUUGCUAGCUAUAUAACAAUUUUCUUACUUUCAUACGGGACGGACUUCUAAAAUCGAAAGAAAAGCAAUUCUUCGAGAUUACUAAACCUACUGAUGAGAGUUCCCUAAACCGGACGAAAUACCAGUAACUAAUUGUUCCAAAAGUCAACAUAUACGUACACACUGUUCUUUUUUCGGCUUCCCCGCGGAGGGUGGACCGUGGCGGGUCGAAGGAGAAUUCGCCGCGGUGGCCCACCGAGGGGUUGGCGAUCAAGAAAAAUAAAGCACGGGCGGAUCAAGUACACCUCGACGAAAACCCUUCAGAUCCUGUUACUAACCAUGGGUUGGAGGAAGGGCUUACCGUGGUCAACUACUAUUAACGUGACCGGUCCCGGUGCUUGAGCUAAACGUUUGAGUCACCCAAGAACGUUGAAACCUUCGGAGAGAGGUUCACUGUCCUGUUCCACCGGUAACUGUCUAACUGCUCCUUCGUGUGCCUGCACCGCUGAUCUGAAGAGUACUAGUAAAUAGGGGGAGCUCCGAUAUAAUACGUGAAGUGCAAACACCCGAACAACUCGACAACACGGGUCGAACACGGCAUGGAAAAAUAAAAGAAAAGAAACAAAGGCACCUGGAGACAAAACGUCAACUAACAACACGAAGACAACACCAACGGAAUAUAUAUUUCCCCCUGCAACGUGUUGG